AGUUUGAUCAUGGCUCAGGAUGAACGCUGGCGGCAGGCUUAACACAUGCAAGUCGAGCGCAUCCUUCGGGGUGAGCGGCGGACGGGUUAGUAACGCGUGGGAACGUGCCCUCUUCUACGGAACAGCCUCGGGAAACUGAGAUUAAUACCGUAUACGCCCGAAAGGGGAAAGAUUUAUCGGAGGAGGAUCGGCCCGCGUUGGAUUAGGUAGUUGGUGGGGUAAUGGCCUACCAAGCCGACGAUCCAUAGCUGGUUUGAGAGGAUGAUCAGCAACACUGGGACUGAGACACGGCCCAGACUCCUACGGGAGGCAGCAGUGGGGAAUCUUGGACAAUGGGGGAAACCCUGAUCCAGCCAUGCCGCGUGGACGAUGAAGGCCUUAGGGUUGUAAAGUCCUUUCGCCAGGGAAGAUAAUGACGGUACCUGGUAAAGAAGCCCCGGCUAACUCCGUGCCAGCAGCCGCGGUAAUACGGAGGGGGCUAGCGUUGUUCGGAAUUACUGGGCGUAAAGCGCACGUAGGCGGAUCAGUCAGUCAGGGGUGAAAUCCCGGGGCUCAACCCCGGAACUGCCUUUGAUACUGCUGGUCUGGA
RNAcentral lists this ribosomal RNA (589 nucleotides) under uncultured bacterium. RNAcentral describes it as "bacterial SSU rRNA". It matches the Rfam family "Bacterial small subunit ribosomal RNA", at positions 10 to 645 of the family's 1533-position model. The record is from RNAcentral.